Molecule: transfer RNA, 75 nt
Filed under: Ruminococcus flavefaciens
Lineage: Bacteria; Bacillati; Bacillota; Clostridia; Eubacteriales; Oscillospiraceae
Also listed under: 2 other names
Description: tRNA-Gly
Rfam family: tRNA
About the family: Transfer RNA (tRNA) molecules are approximately 80 nucleotides in length. Their secondary structure includes four short double-helical elements and three loops (D, anti-codon, and T loops). Further hydrogen bonds mediate the characteristic L-shaped molecular structure. tRNAs have two regions of fundamental functional importance: the anti-codon, which is responsible for specific mRNA codon recognition, and the 3' end, to which the tRNAs corresponding amino acid is attached (by aminoacyl-tRNA synthetases). tRNAs cope with the degeneracy of the genetic code in two manners: having more than one tRNA (with a specific anti-codon) for a particular amino acid; and 'wobble' base-pairing, i.e. permitting non-standard base-pairing at the 3rd anti-codon position.
Source: RNAcentral
GCAGAUAUAGUAUAGCGGUUAUUACUUCAGUUUCCCAAACUGAGGAGGCGGGUUCGACCCCCGUUAUCUGCUCCA